AACCCCUGUGACAUACCACUUGUUGCCUCGGCGGAUCAGCCCGCUCCCGGUAAAACGGGACGGCCCGCCAGAGGACCCCUAAACUCUGUUUCUAUAUGUAACUUCUGAGUAAAACCAUAAAUAAAUCAAAACUUUCAACAACGGAUCUCUUGGUUCUGGCAUCGAUGAAGAACGCAGCAAAAUGCGAUAAGUAAUGGGAAUUGCAGAAUUCAGUGAAUCAUCGAAUCUUUGAACGCACAUUGCGCCCGCCAGUAUUCUGGCGGGCAUGCCUGUUCGAGCGUCAUUUCAACCCUCAAGCACAGCUUGGUGUUGGGACUCGCGUUAAUUCGCGUUCCCCAAAUUGAUUGGCGGUCACGUCGAGCUUCCAUAGCGUAGUAGUAAAACCCUCGUUACUGGUAAUCGUCGCGGCCACGCCGUUAAACCCCAACUUCUGAAUGUUGACCUCGGAUCAGGUAGGAAUACCCGCUGAACUUAAGCAUAUCA
RNAcentral lists this ribosomal RNA (483 nucleotides) under Fusarium oxysporum. RNAcentral's name for it is "eukaryotic LSU rRNA". The stretch from base 130 to 283 matches the Rfam family "5.8S ribosomal RNA". Lineage: Eukaryota; Fungi; Ascomycota; Sordariomycetes; Hypocreales; Nectriaceae. The record is from RNAcentral.